AUUGAACGCUGGCGGAAUGCUUUACACAUGCAAUUCGAACGGGCACACGGAGAGCUUGCUCUCUGGUGGCGAGUGGCGAACGGGUGAGUAAUAUAUCGGAACGUAUCCAAUAAUGGGGGAUAACGAGUCGAAAGAUUCGCUAAUACCGCAUACGCCCUACGGGGGAAAGCAGGGGAUCGUAAGACCUUGCGUUAAUGGAGCGGCCGAUAUCUGAUUAGCUUGUUGGUGAGGUAAAGGCUCACCAAGGCGACGAUCAGUAGCUGGUUUGAGAGAACGACCAGCCACACUGGAACUGAGACACGGUCCAGACUCCUACGGGAGGCAGCAGUGGGGAAUUUUGGACAAUGGGGGCAACCCUGAUCCAGCCAUUCCGCGUGAGUGAAGAAGGCCUUCGGGUUGUAAAGCUCUUUCGCAAGGGAAGAAAACUUAUGAUCGAAUAAAUCAUGAGGUUGACGGUACCUUGAUAAGAAGCACCGGCUAACUACGUGCCAGCAGCCGCGGUAAUACGUAGGGUGCGAGCGUUAAUCGGAAUUACUGGGCGUAAAGCGUGCGCAGGCGGUUUUGUAAGUCGGAUGUGAAAUCCCCGGGCUCAACCUGGGAACUGCGUUCGAAACUGCAAGGCUAGAGUGUGUCAGAGGGGGGUAGAAUUCCACGUGUAGCAGUGAAAUGCGUAGAGAUGUGGAGGAAUACCAAUGGCGAAGGCAGCCCC
This 709-nucleotide ribosomal RNA is filed under the name Pseudomonadota bacterium. Its description in RNAcentral is "bacterial SSU rRNA". It matches the Rfam family "Bacterial small subunit ribosomal RNA", at positions 28 to 728 of the family's 1533-position model. Lineage: Bacteria; Pseudomonadati; Pseudomonadota. The record is from RNAcentral.